CCCAGUGAGAGAUUAUGUCGCUUGAUUUCCAGUUUGUAUUUGCGCUGGAUUUUGACGCUUGGACCAAUUGGAAGGGGGGCCCCCUCCAGCUGGGGGUACUUUGACUGACUAAAUUGUCGUUGCGCUGUUUGGCAAUUGACAUUUUCACGUUGUCGCUGAUGCAAACCUAUUGGGAGGGGGGCCCCCUCGAGCAGGGGGUAUUAGAGAGGCGCUGUUGCUUCCCUCGCAGCAGCGCCCUUCAUACAGAUGACAGUGCCUUAUUGUAAAGCUAUUUAAAAUCGUCAUUGCUGUUGGGUACAUAACCUGUCGUCCUUGGGGGCCCCACCUACUCGGGGGCCCUAGGCAACUGCCUACAUUGCGUACCUUAACGCAACGGGCCUGAGUGGCGCACAACAUCAUCAAAGCCAUGAGGGAGAAAAAAGACCCGAAACCAGUUUCACGGACCCUGCUGGAUGACUCCGAUGAGGCUGGGAUGAAGAACGCUGCCCUGCUACUGCUGCCAAGCUUGUUCAGAGAGGACAGUAAUUUCAUUUACUGUAUAGAGGAACCAGUCAGCCCGAACCCAACCAUCGUUUUCCACGGGUCCCUGAAUGCCCUGAAAGCAGAGAACAUCAGCAUCCAUCUGGAUGGAAAAACCAUUGUCAAAGCAAAAUUGUCCAUCCCAGAAUCAAUUGAAUGUCUGUUCUGUGUUUAUUUUCUUUUCAACGUUUCAUACCCCACGCCAAUAGUUAACACCCUUACCUUUAUCGAAAAAUUCUUGCUAAAAUUGCCCAACAAUACAAAGAUUCCCCUCCCUGUCCUCAAAAUGCAUAACCAAUUAAUGUCCUACAAUUAGAUUACUUAGAAACAUGUUUUUUUUUAAAUUGUCUUUUAUUCAAAGGUGUGUGUGUUAUGUCACUAGGAUUAGAUUUAUUUGUUACACCAGCGCUGUGCAGCCUUGCUAUGUUAUUCCCAGCGCCCUUGUGUGUGUGUGUGUGUGUGUGU
Engraulis encrasicolus (European anchovy) is the source of this 984-nucleotide long non-coding RNA. RefSeq lists it as uncharacterized. The transcript is spliced from 3 exons. The record is from RefSeq and is a predicted model, not a curated record. NCBI's taxonomy places the organism in Eukaryota, Metazoa, Chordata, Actinopteri, Clupeiformes, Engraulidae.